Molecule: small RNA, 32 nt
Filed under: Bombyx mori (domestic silkworm)
Lineage: Eukaryota; Metazoa; Arthropoda; Insecta; Lepidoptera; Bombycidae
Description: ovarian small RNA-24541
Source: RNAcentral
UCAACACUACAACACGACGGCGCGGUAAUUUG